GUCGCCAGUUACUAUAUGUGCGGUCUUCCUGCUUGAAACAUAACUUACCCAUCACAUUUGAACAACAAAUAAUAAUGAAUUAUGGCUCAGCUAUAUUCAUGUUUGACCUGUUCUGCGAAAUGAUAUGCCACAUAAUUCAAUUCGUGCAGAUCGACGCAUAACUGAAGGCGCAGCCAAGGUGACUAAGCAAAUUCCCAAGUGUCCACCUUCCAAGAGCCCUGGGGUACAGGCUCGAGGUGAUGUGUCUGAAGGCCACAUCUCAGGUAUCAGAGAAAAGGAAUAAUGAGAUCUGUUGUUCUGUAUCGCUACCUGGACAUAGUCAUUUCGACAGAUUAAAG
Osmerus eperlanus (European smelt) is the source of this 338-nucleotide long non-coding RNA. RefSeq lists it as uncharacterized. The record is from RefSeq and is a predicted model, not a curated record. The transcript is spliced from 3 exons. Lineage: Eukaryota; Metazoa; Chordata; Actinopteri; Osmeriformes; Osmeridae.